CCCUUAGAUGUUCUGGGCCGCACGCGCGCUACACUGAUGCAUUCAUCGAGCCUAUCCUUGACCGACAGGUCCGGGUAAUCUUUGAAUCUGCAUCGUGACGGGGAUAGAUUAUUGCAAUUAUUAAUCUUCAACGAGGAAUGCCUAGUAGGCGCAAGUCAUCAGCUUGCGUCGAUUACGUCCCUGCCCUUUGUACACACCGCCCGUCGCUCCUACCGAUUGGGUGUGCUGGUGAAAUGUUCGGAUCGGCCGUUUGUCGCGGUUUCCGCGUCAUGUGGCUGAGAAGUUCAUUAAACCCUCCCACCUAGAGGAAGGAGAAGUCGUAACA
Molecule: ribosomal RNA, 325 nt
Filed under: uncultured eukaryote
Lineage: Eukaryota
Description: partial 18S ribosomal RNA
Rfam family: Eukaryotic small subunit ribosomal RNA
Source: RNAcentral